This 445-nucleotide ribosomal RNA is filed under the name uncultured bacterium. RNAcentral's name for it is "bacterial SSU rRNA". It matches the Rfam family "Bacterial small subunit ribosomal RNA", at positions 338 to 795 of the family's 1533-position model. The record is from RNAcentral.
CCUANGGGAGGCAGCAGUGGGGAAUAUUGCACAAUGGGCGAAAGCCUGAUGCAGCGACGCCGCGUGAGGGAUGACGGCCUUCGGGUUGUAAACCUCUUUCGGCAGGGACGAAGCGAAAGUGACGGUACCUGCAGAAGAAGUCCCGGCUAACUACGUGCCAGCAGCCGCGGUAAGACGUAGGGGACGAGCGUUAUUCGGAUUUACUGGGCGUACAGGGAGCGUAGGCGGUUCGGUAAGCCCUCUGUGAAAUCUUCAGGCUUAACCUGGAAAAGUCGGAGGGGACUGCUGGGCUAGAGGACGGGAGAGGAGCGCGGAAUUCCCGGUGUAGCGGUGAAAUGCGUAGAGAUCGGGAGGAAGGCCGGUGGCGAAGGCGGCGCUCUGGAACGUUUCUGACGCUGAGGCUCGAAAGCGUGGGGAGCAAACAGGAUUAGAUACCCCGNUANUC